GACGGAGGGGGCAAGCGUUGUUCGGAAUUACUGGGCGUAAAGCGCGUGUAGGCGGCUGGCUAAGUCUGAUGUGAAAGCCCGGGGCUCACCCCCGGAAGUGCAUUGGAAACUGGCCAGCUCGAGUCCCGGAGAGGAGGGUGGAAUUCCUGGUGUAGCGGUGAAAUGCGUAGCUAUCAGGAGGAACACCGGUGGCGAAGGCGGCCCUCUGGACGGUGACUGACGCUGGGACGCGAAAGCGUGGGGAGCAAACAGG
Molecule: ribosomal RNA, 253 nt
Filed under: uncultured bacterium
Lineage: Bacteria
Description: partial 16S ribosomal RNA
Rfam family: Bacterial small subunit ribosomal RNA
Source: RNAcentral